AGUGAACGCUGGCGGCAGGCCUAACACAUGCAAGUCGAACGGCAGCACAGCAGUAGCAAUACUGUGGGUGGCGAGUGGCGGACGGGUGAGGAAUACAUCGGAAUCUACCUUGUCGUGGGGGAUAACGUAGGGAAACUUACGCUAAUACCGCAUACGAACUAUGGUUGAAAGCGGCGGACCGCAAGGCGUCGCGCGAUUGGAUGAGCCGAUGUCCGAUUAGCUAGUUGGCGGGGUAAAGGCCCACCAAGGCGACGAUCGGUAGCUGGUCUGAGAGGAUGAUCAGCCACACUGGAACUGAGACACGGUCCAGACUCCUACGGGAGGCAGCAGUGGGGGAAUAUUGGACAAUGGGCGCAAGCCUGAUCCAGCCAUGCCGCGUGUGUGAAGAAGGCCUCGGGUUGUAAGACUCUUUGUCUAGGAGAACGGU
This 427-nucleotide ribosomal RNA is filed under the name uncultured bacterium. Its description in RNAcentral is "bacterial SSU rRNA". It matches the Rfam family "Bacterial small subunit ribosomal RNA", at positions 29 to 453 of the family's 1533-position model. The record is from RNAcentral.